UACGGAGGGUCCAAGCGUUAUCCGGAUUCACUGGGUUUAAAGGGUGCGUAGGUGGGAAUGUAAGUCAGUGGUGAAAUCUCCGUGCUUAACAUGGAAACUGCCAUUGAUACUAUGUUUCUUGAAUUUUCUGGAGGUAAGCGGAAUAUGUCAUGUAGCGGUGAAAUGCUUAGAUAUGACAUAGAACACCAAUUGCGAAGGCAGCUUGCUACAGGGAUAUUGACACUGAGGCACGAAAGCGUGGGGAUCAAACAGG
Molecule: ribosomal RNA, 253 nt
Filed under: uncultured bacterium
Lineage: Bacteria
Description: partial 16S ribosomal RNA
Rfam family: Bacterial small subunit ribosomal RNA
Source: RNAcentral